Molecule: ribosomal RNA, 253 nt
Filed under: uncultured bacterium
Lineage: Bacteria
Description: partial 16S ribosomal RNA
Rfam family: Bacterial small subunit ribosomal RNA
Source: RNAcentral
UACGUAGGGGGCAAGCGUUGUCCGGAAUUAUUGGGCGUAAAGAGCGCGUAGGCGGUCCGGUAAGUCGGCUGUGAAAGUCAAGGGCUCAACCCUUGAAAGCCGGCCGAUACUGUCGGACUAGAGUCCGGAAGAGGCGAGUGGAAUUCCCGGUGUAGCGGUGAAAUGCGCAGAUAUCGGGAGGAACACCAAUGGCGAAGGCAGCUCGCUGGGACGGUACUGACGCUGAGGCGCGAAGGCCAGGGGAGCAAACGGG